Molecule: ribosomal RNA, 217 nt
Filed under: Staphylococcus aureus
Lineage: Bacteria; Bacillati; Bacillota; Bacilli; Caryophanales; Staphylococcaceae
Description: partial 23S ribosomal RNA
Rfam family: Bacterial large subunit ribosomal RNA
Source: RNAcentral
UCUGGUGUACCAGUUGUCGUGCCAACGGCAUAGCUGGGUAGCUAUGUGUGGACGGGAUAAGUGCUGAAAGCAUCUAAGCAUGAAGCCCCCCUCAAGAUGAGAUUUCCCAACUUCGGUUAUAAGAUCCCUCAAAGAUGAUGAGGUUAAUAGGUUCGAGGUGGAAGCAUGGUGACAUGUGGAGCUGACGAAUACUAAUCGAUCGAAGACUUAAUCAAAA